Molecule: ribosomal RNA, 491 nt
Filed under: uncultured bacterium
Lineage: Bacteria
Description: partial 16S ribosomal RNA
Rfam family: Bacterial small subunit ribosomal RNA
Source: RNAcentral
GAUGGACGCUGGCUACAGGCUUAACACAUGCAAGUCGAGGGGAAACGCCGGGGAAGCUUGCUUCCCCGGGCGUCGACCGGCGCACGGGUGAGUAACGCGUAUCCAACCUGCCUCUGACUGAGGGAUAACCCGUCGAAAGUCGGCCUAAUACCUCAUGGCAUCGUCUGCGGGCAUCCAACGACGAUUAAAGAUUUCAUCGGUCAGGGAUGGGGAUGCGUCUGAUUAGCUAGUUGGCGGGGUAACGGCCCACCAAGGCGACGAUCAGUAGGGGUUCUGAGAGGAAGGUCCCCCACAUUGGAACUGAGACACGGUCCAAACUCCUACGGGAGGAAGCAGUGAGGAAUAUUGGUCAAUGGGCGAGAGCCUGAACCAGCCAAGUAGCGUGCAGGAUGACGGCCCUAUGGGUUGUAAACUGCUUUUAUGCGGGGAUAAAGUGAGGGACGUGUCCUUCAUUGCAGGUACCGCAUGAAUAAGGACCGGCUAAUUCCGUG